This is a long non-coding RNA of Ipomoea nil (Japanese morning glory), 241 nucleotides long. RefSeq lists it as uncharacterized. The record is from RefSeq and is a predicted model, not a curated record. NCBI's taxonomy places the organism in Eukaryota, Viridiplantae, Streptophyta, Magnoliopsida, Solanales, Convolvulaceae. The transcript has 2 exons.
UAGUAUGUUUGUCGGGGAACCAAGCUGCUUACUACUUUGUCCCUGGGACAGACGAAGGUGCAAAUAAUUGGCUAGUUUAUCUUCCGGGAGGAGGAUGGUGUUCGACCCCCCAAGAUUGCCAGAAUUAUAUUUCAAGGUUCCACAUAAAUGAACCAGCCAAGCCAACACAAUUUAACGGUAUACUCAGCAAUGAUUGUGAACUUAACCCCGGUACUAUAUAUACUUUCCAACUUAUUUAUUU